Molecule: ribosomal RNA, 254 nt
Filed under: uncultured bacterium
Lineage: Bacteria
Description: partial 16S ribosomal RNA
Rfam family: Bacterial small subunit ribosomal RNA
Source: RNAcentral
GACGGAGGAUGCAAGCGUUAUCCGGAAUGAUUGGGCGUAAAGCGUCCGCAGGUGGCAGUUCAAGUCUGCUGUCAAAGACCGGGGCUUAACUUCGGAAAGGCAGUGGAAACUGAACAGCUAGAGUAUGGUAGGGGCAGAGGGAAUUCCUGGUGUAGCGGUGAAAUGCGUAGAGAUCAGGAAGAACAUCGGUGGCGAAGGCGGCAUCCUGGACCAACACUGACGCUGAGUGAGCGAAAGCCAGGGGAGCAAACGGG